This 252-nucleotide ribosomal RNA is filed under the name uncultured bacterium. Its description in RNAcentral is "partial 16S ribosomal RNA". It matches the Rfam family "Bacterial small subunit ribosomal RNA", at positions 524 to 776 of the family's 1533-position model. The record is from RNAcentral.
UACGGGGGGGGCAAGCGUUGUUCGGAAUUACUGGGCGUAAAGGGCUUGUAGGCGGCCAACUAAGUCCGACGUGAAAUCCCCAGCUUAACCUGGGAACUGCGUGUGAUACUGGAUGGCUUGAAUUCGGGAGAGGGAUGCAGAAUUCCAGGUGUAGCGGUGAAAUGCGUAGAUAUCUGGAGGAAUACCGGUGGCGAAGGCGGCAUCCUGGACCGACAUUGACGCUGAACGGCGAAAGCUAGGGGAGCAAACGGG